This 253-nucleotide ribosomal RNA is filed under the name uncultured Acidobacteriota bacterium. RNAcentral's name for it is "uncultured Acidobacteria bacterium partial 16S ribosomal RNA". It matches the Rfam family "Bacterial small subunit ribosomal RNA", at positions 524 to 776 of the family's 1533-position model. The record is from RNAcentral. Lineage: Bacteria; Pseudomonadati; Acidobacteriota.
UACAGAGGGGGCGAGCGUUGUUCGGAAUUACUGGGCGUAAAGGGCGCGUAGGCGGCCUGCUAAGUCAGACGUGAAAUCCCAUGGCUCAACCAUGGAACUGCGUCUGAUACUGGCGGGCUUGAAUCCGGGAGAGGGAUGCGGAAUUCCAGGUGUAGCGGUGAAAUGCGUAGAUAUCUGGAGGAACACCGGUGGCGAAGGCGGCAUCCUGGACCGGCAUUGACGCUGAGGCGCGAAAGCCAGGGGAGCAAACGGG